Molecule: long non-coding RNA, 1756 nt
Organism: Xenopus laevis (African clawed frog)
Lineage: Eukaryota; Metazoa; Chordata; Amphibia; Anura; Pipidae
Exons: 3
Source: RefSeq, a predicted model, not a curated record
CAGGCUUCUGUAUCGGCUGCCGUGUUAUAAAUAAAUACUCCUUUUCCUGUAGAUUAAAAGCACAGACUUCUGAGUUAAGUUGUUAAACCUUUAGAUUCCCGAUCUCUAAUUCCUGCUCAUGGUACUGAAGAAAGACAGUCACGCUGGAAAGAAGUGUAACACAAAUCAGAAAGGAAGGAGAGCUCAAGGCACUAUGAGGAGUCAAAACCUAAAGAGAGAGCAAUACCCACAGCAGAAAAGCAGAGGGAACAUUUAGUAGAACCCAGUGAAAGUUCGAAAGUCAAAAAACCUGAAUCUGUAAUUCAACAUUGAAGUGUUUCCAGAGAAGAAGGUAGUAGAAGUUUCUUAAGAAAAAGUGACUGGUGACUGGUCAGAUGAAGAUGUCCCAGAAAGUAAAGAGCCUGAUCCUGUAGAGAAAACUAUAAAAUAACUUAUCAAAAAGCCUACUAAGGCCAAAACAGAAAAAGAGGAACCUCAUCCUGCAGCUGCUGAAGAACCUCCUCCUCGUAAACCCUCUAAGCAAAAACAUAGCAGUAGCAUCUCUAGCAACCAGAGUGGCACAUCCAUUGAUUCUGUUCAUUGAAGUGGAGAAGACCACAAUGCAAGGAGGAGAUUAUUGCAUUGUAGCUCUAGAGAUCGAGAAAGAAAUAAAAGCAUUGAGACCACUAAGUAAUUCAAGUCCAGGAUAGAUCAGCUGAAGAGUGAAGAGCCUAGCCGCAGCACUUUAUCAGAUUGUAGGAAUUCAAGAAGUCACAGUUCCAGAAGAAGUUCAACUGAUCAUCAAGUACAUUCCAGAUCUGGGCCAUUUAACAGAUCCCUUGGACGUUAUUGAUGUGGACUGGUCCAGUUUGAUGCCAAAGCAGCCUAAGGAACCUCGGGAGUCUGGAACUGUACUCUUUACACCAGCGGCAGUCUUGCUUCGUGUUGGCAUUUCAAAGCAUUUGGCUGGAAAGGAAUUGUUUAAUAAAGUUAGAGACCUCUGCCAGCUUCUAGAAAAGCCAAAAGUAUCCUAACAUUAUAAUUAUUCAGUGUCUGAUAUAUAAUUGCGUUGUUUUAUUGUGAUGGCAAACACUGUAGAUUUUUCUUUUUUUAAUUUGCAAUUAUAUUGGAUGUUGUGUUCAUUAUUAAAUGUAGGAUUCCCUGUAUAUAAAGGGGCAUUUCACCUUUAACUUUAACUAGGCAGUGAUAUUCUGAGACAAUGCAGUUGGUUUUGAUUUUUUUUUAUAUCUUGCAGUUUUUGAAUUAUUUAGCUUUUUGCUCAGCAGCUCUCCAGUUUGGAAUUUAUGCAGCUAGGCAAUGGUUUGAAUAAUAUGCUUAAAGAGGAUUCUGCUUUAGUUAUAUUUAAGCAGUGCCCCAACUUUUUUGUACGGGUUGUAUUAGACUGUAACAUUAAAUUGUAGCCUCACAGGGAAAUAGAAUUUUUUUUGGCCAUUGUGGGCUGCUCCUGUUUAAAAGCUGGCAAGAUAAAAGUAAUUAAUUAAACUAUGAAAAAUAAAGACCAAUUUAACAUUUGCAAAGAAUUGCAUAUUCUAGAACUUAUUCGUUAUAAUAGUUAGCUUAAUGAUUAACUACCCAUUUAAACAUUCAGGCUUUUUUGAGGCCACAUCCUGACAUUUUGUGCUUUCUGUACAACAUAGUUUCCUUUGCCCCUUGUAGCUUGCCUUGAUGUUGACUCUUGCAUGAAAUUGGCUUUGAUCGAUUUCUUUUGUCUGGCAGUUUGCAUGCUGCUUUGUUUUUGACUUGCAUUUUAUUUCUA